Molecule: ribosomal RNA, 253 nt
Filed under: uncultured bacterium
Lineage: Bacteria
Description: partial 16S ribosomal RNA
Rfam family: Bacterial small subunit ribosomal RNA
Source: RNAcentral
UACGUAGGGUGCGAGCGUUAAUCGGAAUUACUGGGCGUAAAGUGUGCGCAGGUGGCCGCGCAAGUCGAGUGUGAAAUCCCCGGGCUUAACUUGGGAAUUGCGCUCGAAACUACGUGGCUCGAGUGUGGCAGAGGGAGGUGGAAUUCCACGUGUAGCGGUGAAAUGCGUAGAUAUCUGGAGGAACACCGGUGGCGAAGGCGGCAUCCUGGACCGACACUGACGCUGAGGAGCGAAAGCCAGGGGAGCAAACGGG